RNAcentral lists this ribosomal RNA (897 nucleotides) under uncultured bacterium. Its description in RNAcentral is "bacterial SSU rRNA". It matches the Rfam family "Bacterial small subunit ribosomal RNA", at positions 11 to 916 of the family's 1533-position model. The record is from RNAcentral.
GUUUGAUCCUGGCUCAGGAUGAACGCUGGCGGCGUGCUUAACACAUGCAAGUCGAACGGUGAACACGGAGCUUGCUCUGUGGGAUCAGUGGCGAACGGGUGAGUAACACGUGAGCAACCUGCCCCUGACUCUGGGAUAAGCGCUGGAAACGGCGUCUAAUACUGGAUAUGUGACGUGACCGCAUGGUCUGCGUUUGGAAAGAUUUUUCGGUUGGGGAUGGGCUCGCGGCCUAUCAGCUUGUUGGUGAGGUAAUGGCUCACCAAGGCGUCGACGGGUAGCCGGCCUGAGAGGGUGACCGGCCACACUGGGACUGAGACACGGCCCAGACUCCUACGGGAGGCAGCAGUGGGGAAUAUUGCACAAUGGGCGCAAGCCUGAUGCAGCAACGCCGCGUGAGGGAUGACGGCCUUCGGGUUGUAAACCUCUUUUAGCAGGGAAGAAGCGCAAGUGACGGUACCUGCAGAAGAAGCACCGGCUAACUACGUGCCAGCAGCCGCGGUAAUACGUAGGGUGCGAGCGUUGUCCGGAAUUAUUGGGCGUAAAGAGCUUGUAGGCGGUUUGUCGCGUCUGCUGUGAAAAUCCGAGGCUCAACCUCGGACUUGCAGUGGGUACGGGCAGACUAGAGUGUGGUAGGGGAGACUGGAAUUCCUGGUGUAGCGGUGAAAUGCGCAGAUAUCAGGAGGAACACCGAUGGCGAAGGCAGGUCUCUGGGCCACUACUGACGCUGAGAAGCGAAAGCAUGGGGAGCGAACAGGAUUAGAUACCCUGGUAGUCCAUGCCGUAAACGUUGGGAACUAGGUGUGGGUCUCAUUCCACGAGAUCCGUGCCGCAGCUAACGCAUUAAGUUCCCCGCCUGGGGAGUACGGCCGCAAGGCUAAAACUCAAAGGAAUUGACGG